Molecule: non-coding RNA, 304 nt
Organism: Chlorocebus sabaeus (green monkey)
Lineage: Eukaryota; Metazoa; Chordata; Mammalia; Primates; Cercopithecidae
Rfam family: Metazoan signal recognition particle RNA
About the family: The signal recognition particle (SRP) is a universally conserved ribonucleoprotein. It is involved in the co-translational targeting of proteins to membranes. The eukaryotic SRP consists of a 300-nucleotide 7S RNA and six proteins: SRPs 72, 68, 54, 19, 14, and 9.
Source: Rfam
GCCAGGUGUGGUGGCGUGCACCUGUAGUCCCAGCUACUCAGGAGGCUGAGGCAGGAGAAUUGCUUGAACCCGGGAGGCGGAGGUUGCAGUGAGCUGAGAUCACACCACUGCAUUCCAGCUAGGCGAAGGAGCAAGACUCCAUCUCAAAAAAAAAAAAAAAAAAAAAAAAAAAAAGAAAAGGCUGUUUAGAUUUUUUUUUUUUGAGAAGGAGUUUCGCUUUUGUCACCCUGGCUGGAGUGCAGUGGCACCAUCUUGGCUCACUGCAACCUCUGCCUCCCGGGUUCAAGCAAUUCUCCUGCCUCAG